GACGAUACAUAGGGGGACUGAGAGGUUAACCCCCCACACUGGUACUGAGACACGGACCAGACUCCUACGGGAGGCAGCAGUGAGGAAUAUUGGUCAAUGGACGCAAGUCUGAACCAGCCAUGCCGCGUGCAGGAUGACGGCUCUAUGAGUUGUAAACUGCUUUUGUACGAGGGUAAACGCAGAUACGUGUAUCUGUCUGAAAGUAUCGUACGAAUAAGGAUCGGCUAACUCCGUGCCAGCAGCCGCGGUAAUACGGAGGAUUCAAGCGUUAUCCGGAUUUAUUGGGUUUAAAGGGUGCGUAGGCGGUUUGAUAAGUUAGAGGUGAAAUUUCGGGGCUCAACCCUGAACGUGCCUCUAAUACUGUUGAGCUAGAGAGUAGUUGCGGUAGGCGGAAUGUAUGGUGUAGCGGUGAAAUGCUUAGAGAUCAUACAGAACACCGAUUGCGAAGGCAGCUUACCAAACUACAUCUGACGUUGAGGCACGAAAGCGUGGGGAGCAAACAGGAUUAGAUACCCUGGUAGUCCACGCAGUAAACGAUGAUAACUCGUUGUCGGCGAUACACAGUCGGUGACUAAGCGAAAGCGAUAAGUUAUCCACCUGGGGAGUACGUUCGCAAGAAUGCAACUCAAAUGAAUUGACGG
Molecule: ribosomal RNA, 641 nt
Filed under: uncultured bacterium
Lineage: Bacteria
Description: bacterial SSU rRNA
Rfam family: Bacterial small subunit ribosomal RNA
Source: RNAcentral